GGAUGCGAUCAUACCAGCACUAAAGCACCGGAUCCCAUCAGAACUCCGAAGUUAAGCGUGCUUGGGCGAGAGUAGUACUAGGAUGGGUGACCUCCUGGGAAGUCCUCGUGUUGCAUCCC
Ribosomal RNA from Oryza sativa Indica Group (long-grained rice), 119 nucleotides. NCBI's taxonomy places the organism in Eukaryota, Viridiplantae, Streptophyta, Magnoliopsida, Poales, Poaceae. The record is from Rfam.